AACGAACGCUGGCGGCAUGCCUAACACAUGCAAGUCGAACGCAUCGCAAGAUGAGUGGCAGACGGGUGAGUAACGCGUGGAAACAUACCCUUUUCUACGGAGUAGCUCUGGGAAACUGGAAUUAAUACCGUAUACGCCCUACGGGGGAAAGAUUUAUCGGGGAAGGAUUGGCCCGCGUUGGAUUAGCUAGUUGGUGGGGUAAAGGCCUACCAAGGCGACGAUCCAUAGCUGGUCUGAGAGGAUGAUCAGCCACAUUGGGACUGAGACACGGCCCAAACUCCUACGGGAGGCAGCAGUGGGGAAUAUUGGACAAUGGGCGCAAGCCUGAUCCAGCCAUGCCGCGUGAGUGAUGAAGGCCUUAGGGUUGUAAAGCUCUUUCACCGAUGAAGAUAAUGACGGUAGUCGGAGAAGAAGCCCCGGCUAACUUCGUGCCAGCCGCCGCCGUAA
Molecule: ribosomal RNA, 447 nt
Filed under: uncultured bacterium
Lineage: Bacteria
Description: partial 16S ribosomal RNA
Rfam family: Bacterial small subunit ribosomal RNA
Source: RNAcentral